UACGUAGGGUGCGAGCGUUAAUCGGAAUUACUGGGCGUAAAGCGUGCGCAGGCGGUUCUCCAAGUCCGUUGUGAAAGCCCCGGGCUCAACCUGGGAAUGGCAGUGGAAACUAGGGGACUGGAAUCUGGCAGAGGGGGGUGGAAUGCCGCGUGUAGCAGUGAAAUGCGUAGAGAUGCGGCGGUACACCGAUGGCGAAGGCAGCCCCCUGGGCUGAGAUUGACGCUCAGGCACGAAAGCGUGGGGAGCAAACAGG
This 253-nucleotide ribosomal RNA is filed under the name uncultured bacterium. RNAcentral describes it as "partial 16S ribosomal RNA". It matches the Rfam family "Bacterial small subunit ribosomal RNA", at positions 524 to 776 of the family's 1533-position model. The record is from RNAcentral.